GACGGACGCUGGCGGCGUGCUUAACACAUGCAAGUCGAACGAUGAAGCCUAGCUUGCUAGGUGGAUUAGUGGCGAACGGGUGAGUAAUACGUGAGUAACCUACCUUUAACUCUGGGAUAAGCCUGGGAAACUGGGUCUAAUACCGGAUACGACCAAUCUCCGCAUGGGGUGUUGGUGGAAAGCGUUAUGUAGUGGUUAUAGAUGGGCUCACGGCCUAUCAGCUUGUUGGUGAGGUAACGGCUCACCAAGGCGACGACGGGUAGCCGGCCUGAGAGGGUGACCGGCCACACUGGGACUGAGACACGGCCCAGACUCCUACGGGAGGCAGCAGUGGGGAAUAUUGCACAAUGGGCGCAAGCCUGAUGCAGCGACGCCGCGUGAGGGAUGACGGCCUUCGGGUUGUAAACCUCUGUUAGCAGGGAAGAAGAGAGAUUGACGGUACCUGCAGAGAAAGCGCCGGCUAACUACGUGCCAGCAGCCGCGGUAAUACGUAGGGCGCGAGCGUUGUCCGGAAUUAUUGGGCGUAAAGAGCUUGUAGGCGGUUUGUCGCGUCUGCUGUGAAGGCCGGGGCUUAACCCCGUGUAUUGCAGUGGGUACGGGCAGACUAGAGUGCAGUAGGGGAGACUGGAAUUCCUGGUGUAGCGGUGGAAUGCGCAGAUAUCAGGAGGAACACCGAUGGCGAAGGCAGGUCUCUGGGCUGUAACUGACGCUGAGAAGCGAAAGCAUGGGGAGCGAACAGGAUUAGAUACCCUGGUAGUCCAUGCCGCAAACGUUGGGCACUAGGUGUGGGGGACAUUCCACGUUUUCCGCGCCGUAGCUAACGCAUUAAGUGCCCCGCCUGGGGAGUACGGCCGCAAGGCUAAAACUCAAAGAAAUUGACGGGGGCCCGCACAAGCGGCGGAGCAUGCGGAUUAAUUCGAUGCAACGCGAAGAACCUUACCAAGGCUUGACAUAUACUGGACCGCAUCAGAGAUGGUGUUUCCCUUCGGGGCUGGUAUACAGGUGGUGCAUGGUUGUCGUCAGCUCGUGUCGUGAGAUGUUGGGUUAAGUCCCGCAACGAGCGCAACCCUCGUUCUAUGUUGCCGGCACGUUAUGGUGGGGACUCAUAGGAGACUGCCGGGGUCAACUCGGAGGAAGGUGGGGAUGACGUCAAAUCAUCAUGCCCCUUAUGUCUUGGGCUUCACGCAUGCUACAAUGGCCGGUACAGAGGGUUGCGAUCCCGCAAGGGCUAGCUAAUCUUUCAAAGCCAUUCUCAGUUCGGAUUGCACUCUGCAACUCGAGUGCAUGAAGUCGGAAUCGCUAGUAAUCGCGAAUCAGAAUGUCGCGGUGAAUCCGUUCCCGGGCCU
This 1346-nucleotide ribosomal RNA is filed under the name uncultured bacterium. Its description in RNAcentral is "bacterial SSU rRNA". It matches the Rfam family "Bacterial small subunit ribosomal RNA", at positions 28 to 1381 of the family's 1533-position model. The record is from RNAcentral.